This 404-nucleotide ribosomal RNA is filed under the name Actinomycetes bacterium. RNAcentral's name for it is "Actinobacteria bacterium partial 16S ribosomal RNA". It matches the Rfam family "Bacterial small subunit ribosomal RNA", at positions 355 to 776 of the family's 1533-position model. The record is from RNAcentral. Lineage: Bacteria; Bacillati; Actinomycetota; Actinomycetes.
UGGGGAAUAUUGGACAAUGGGCGCAAGCCUGAUCCAGCCAUGCCGCGUGAGUGAUGAAGGCCCUAGGGUUGUAAAGCUCUUUCACCGGUGAAGAUAAUGACGGUAACCGGAGAAGAAGCCCCGGCUAACUUCGUGCCAGCAGCCGCGGUAAUACGAAGGGGGCUAGCGUUGUUCGGAUUUACUGGGCGUAAAGCGCACGUAGGCGGACUAUUAAGUCAGGGGUGAAAUCCCGGGGCUCAACCCCGGAACUGCCUUUGAUACUGGUAAUCUUGAGUUCGAGAGAGGUGAGUGGAAUUCCGAGUGUAGAGGUGAAAUUCGUAGAUAUUCGGAGGAACACCAGUGGCGAAGGCGGCUCACUGGCUCGAUACUGACGCUGAGGUGCGAAAGCGUGGGGAGCAAACAGG